UACGGAGGAUGCGAGCGUUAUCCGGAUUUAUUGGGUUUAAAGGGUGCGUAGGCGGAUUUUUAAGUCAGCGGUAAAAUGUCCGGGCUCAACCCGGGCCGGCCGUUGAAACUGGGGAUCUUGAGUGGGCGAGAAGUAUGCGGAAUGCGUGGUGUAGCGGUGAAAUGCAUAGAUAUCACGCAGAACUCCGAUUGCGAAGGCAGCAUACCGGCGCCCGACUGACGCUGAAGCACGAAAGCGUGGGUAUCGAACAGG
Molecule: ribosomal RNA, 252 nt
Filed under: uncultured bacterium
Lineage: Bacteria
Description: partial 16S ribosomal RNA
Rfam family: Bacterial small subunit ribosomal RNA
Source: RNAcentral